Molecule: ribosomal RNA, 488 nt
Filed under: uncultured bacterium
Lineage: Bacteria
Description: bacterial SSU rRNA
Rfam family: Bacterial small subunit ribosomal RNA
Source: RNAcentral
GAUCCUGGCUCAGAUUGAACGCUGGCGGAAUGCUUUACACAUGCAAGUCGAACGGUAGAGGGGGCAACCCCUUGAGAGUGGCGAACGGGUGAGUAAUAUAUCGGAACGUGCCCAGUCGUGGGGGAUAACGUAGUGAAAAUUACGCUAAUACCGCAUACGAUCUAAGGAUGAAAGCGGGGGACCGUAAGGCCUCGCGCGAUUGGAGCGGCCGAUAUCAGAUUAGGUAGUUGGUAGGGUAAAGGCCUACCAAGCCAACGAUCUGUAGCUGGUCUGAGAGGACGACCAGCCACACUGGAACUGAGACACGGACCAGACUCCUACGGGAGGCAGCAGUGAGGAAUAUUGGUCAAUGGUCGGAAGACUGAACCAGCCAUGCCGCGUGCAGGAAGACGGUCCUAUGGAUUGUAAACUGCUUUUAUACAGGAAGAAACCCUCUCACGAGUGGGAGCUUGACGGUACUGUAUGAAUAAGCAUCGGCUAACUCCGUG